RNAcentral lists this ribosomal RNA (495 nucleotides) under uncultured bacterium. Its description in RNAcentral is "partial 16S ribosomal RNA". It matches the Rfam family "Bacterial small subunit ribosomal RNA", at positions 28 to 507 of the family's 1533-position model. The record is from RNAcentral.
GACGAACGCUGGCGGCGUGCCUAAUACAUGCAAGUAGAACGCUGAAGGAGGAGCUUGCUUCUCUGGAUGAGUUGCGAACGGGUGAGUAACGCGUAGGUAACCUGCCUGGUAGCGGGGGAUAACUAUUGGAAACGAUAGCUAAUACCGCAUAAGAGUAGAUGUUGCAUGACAUUUGCUUAAAAGGUGCAAUUGCAUCACUACCAGAUGGACCUGCGUUGUAUUAGCUAGUUGGUGGGGUAACGGCUUACCAAGGCGACGAUACAUAGCCGACCUGAGAGGGUGAUCGGCCACACUGGGACUGAGACACGGCCCAGACUCCUACGGGAGGCAGCAGUAGGGAAUCUUCGGCAAUGGACGGAAGUCUGACCGAGCAACGCCGCGUGAGUGAAGAAGGUUUUCGGAUCGUAAAGCUCUGUUGUAAGAGAAGAACGAGUGUGGGAGUGGAAAGUUCACACUGUGACGGUAUCUUACCAGAAAGGGACGGCUAACUACGUG